CGAGAUUUUUAAACUGGACAGUUCAGUAGUUUUCAGAAACAGGAUAGGAUCAAUAGUGGUUGUAUAAAAACUAAAACUCCUUGGGAAUGGGCGCGUAAAAGGGUAAAUCUUCGCAACCUUGUUUACUGAAGCCCGAUGAGGAAGAGAUAUCCAUACUUCGAAACCUUUAAACAGAUAUUCCAGAUGCGCUCAGAAGAAUGUCGAAUAUAAAUCCUAAAGCUAAAUCAAAGAGAAAUACAUGAUAUAUAUGGCAGUCGGCAUAUUGGUCGUGAUCAAGCUCGAUCACUUGUUGGUUUGAUGGAUUUCUUCUGCUUUAGUGAGGUUAGUUCCUUGUUAUCCUGUUAAUAAAUAAUAACUUUUGUUUUUGUAUUGUGUAAUGUUGGAGCUUUACCUCAGUGAACUUUUGUGCUUUGAGUUUUGUACUCUUCUUCAUAUGUCAAAGAAGAUUAUUGUUGUUUCCUGUAUACAUGUCAUAAAGUUGGGCACACAAAUAAUUGAUUGGCAUCCAUAAUGGCCAUACUGCAAUAUUUUUCUGUCAUUGAUUUGAGCCCCUACAACAUAUGAAGUAGUCAUAGGAUGUAGGGAAAAGUUAAAUCUUGUAAGAUAAAAGGUUACUUCCUUCCCGCACAAUUUUUAAAUAUUUGUCUGAUGAUUAGAUAUUUUUUAUUUUUGAAAAAAAAACCAAAAAAGUAGUUUUGGUGCUUAGUUGCUUUUCCAAUAAUAAACUAAUAUUAAAGCAGAAGUACCGUUUUCAAAAGUUUAUCCAAAUGUACGCACCCUUAUUGAGACUUGACCUAGUAUAUUCAAUCCUAAUUGCCCUUGCUUCUUCAAUUGACCAUUUAUUAUGUUGUUGACGGUUGCACUCAAAGUGAUAGAGACCUUCUUAGACUCUUGUUGGGUUGGAUCUUCCAUUCAAGCUUCAUGACUUUAGAGAACCUUCUUGGAUGUAAGAACUUGCACCAGUUGGGAAUCUUCGUGAGUUAUUGAAGGCUUUCUUGGUUGGACAUGGUCUGGCUGGGUACUUGAUGGUUCACGGUGAGGUUGCUCUCGGCUAUGUUAAAUUUCUUGAUUCGUACUUAGAGGUAAGCGCAACCGUAGGUUGUGGAAGCUAUUAGGAGAGAUUAGGAUAAUGUUUCUUGAAUACUUGAAGGAUUCUUGGAUCCUAACUUGCUUUGAUAUUUCGGCCAAGCAAGAGAAGCAUGAGGUGAAAAUUAUUUUAAUUAUGAAGGUCUGAUGUUGCUAAUCUAAGGAGGCCGAGAGGAUUGAGUUUAGUUUAGGAGGAAAAAAGUUCUUGAAAGGCAAGGUAGGCUUUGAUUCUUUUUAAGGUUUGGCCUUGAGGUUUGUUUUGUUGGGUAAUUUUCUUUGUUGCAAGAAUGAUGAAUUUUGAUGGCUAAAGGAGGAGGUGUGCACACAAGCUCAAAAAAGCAAGAGAAGGAAACCAAGAAUGGUUAGGAGAAAAGAGGAAGGAACAAGACUAAACAAAGACAUUUACCUUGUCAAAAAGUGGCGGUUAGAACUUUGCAUACAUUUGCGGUCUAAAAUAGUGGCGGUUUGCAGACACAGCCACUCUAAUUCUUUCUAUUUAUUUAUUAUUAUUGUUAUGGAUUUUUAUAGGUGAUAACAAUAUUAUUUCUUUUAAUACGCAGAAGAUGGUCAUUGGUAGAAAGCUAAGAAAAUUACCUCAUUAGGUAAAUGACUAAUUAAGCCAUCCUAAUCAACUGACAGUUGUCUAAAAUAAGGGUUUUUUCGUUAUUUGAACUGACCCAUUUGAAUUACCAGUUUAGCAUGGCCUUCUUCUCGGUACUAUCAUACUAAUGAGUGGGAGUAUUGUCUUUUAACGUUUUCCGCUUCACGUGAGUCUGAAUGGUUUGGACCUUCUUCUUCUAUAUAAUAUCAGACCAUCUCUGCUUCUCCCGCUUCCUGUUCUUCUUUUUUUACCUUUUCUGCAAACAAAUAUCAGCCUUCAUUUAUGUUAUCUUUUUUCGUGUUCUAUGCAUCUUUGGACGUGUGAAAGGUUAGUCAUCCACAUAUACUUUUCCUACUUUGUCCACUUUUUCGCUUUCUAUGUUCAUCUUCUUCUCCUUUUUGGACCUCAUCUCUCAACUUUUGGCUUUCUUCGUCUCUUUCUACUUAUUCCUUCUAUUUACAUGUAUAGAACUCAGUAGCUUGACUUCUACUUUGUUAAUCGAACUCUGUUUUUGUUAAAGAUUUGGCGAACAUUGAGUUUAUUAAGUUACGUAUUUUAUAACCCAACUUCUAUUUCGUGUGUAUCUUUGUGGUUUUGGCUUCAAGUUUGUAUUUUUAUUUCAUUAAAUUGAUUCUUCAACUGUUUCCAUCGUGUAUUAGACAAAAACAAAAUUGACAUGAUCAAGAAGAGAAACGUUGAAUCUUGUUGUGAAAUAUAUGGAGAUGAUUCUUACAUAGUAAUCUAAAGUAUCAA
Molecule: small RNA, 2440 nt
Filed under: Vigna angularis var. angularis
Lineage: Eukaryota; Viridiplantae; Streptophyta; Magnoliopsida; Fabales; Fabaceae
Description: Non-protein coding transcript
Source: RNAcentral